RNAcentral lists this ribosomal RNA (270 nucleotides) under uncultured bacterium. RNAcentral describes it as "partial 16S ribosomal RNA". It matches the Rfam family "Bacterial small subunit ribosomal RNA", at positions 15 to 283 of the family's 1533-position model. The record is from RNAcentral.
GAUCCUGGCUAAGGACGAACGCUGGCGGCGUGCUUAACACAUGCAAGUCGAACGGAAAGGCCCUGCUUUUGUGGGGUGCCCGAGUGGCGAACGGGUGAGUAACACGUGAGUAACCUGCCCUUGACUUUGGGAUAACUUCAGGAAACUGGGGCUAAUACCGGAUAGGAGCUCCUGCUGCAUGGUGGGGGUUGGAAAGUUUCGGCGGUUGGGGAUGGACUCGCGGCUUAUCAGCUUGUUGGUGGGGUAGUGGCUUACCAAGGCUUUGACGGG